CUCACCCCACCGUGGUCACCCAAUGCCUCUGGACCUCCUUUCAGCUGGGGAACUAACAACAGGGAAGAGGAAAGCUGCCCCUUAACACAGAGAACCUGGCCCUGAUCCUGGUGCAGAAGAGCAAUGAGGAGCUGCACUGACAUCAAUCUGCUGUAAGCAGGAGCAUCACAGAGCCCUGCAUUGGAUGUUUUCCACCAUCCAGAGUGAACGGGUGGACUCCUGUCAAGCAGACGAGCCUCAAUGUACACAGUCCUCCUCCUUAGAUGGAUGUCGCUAUCCACAGCAGGCAGCUUUGCUGGUCUUUUUUUCCUCCCCCUCACCAUUGCUGCCAAGAGAAGAGGAGGGCUGUGGUCAGUGGCACCACCGAGGGACACGUGGACUGACAGUGUGCCAACACAGUGAGCAGAAAGCUGCAGUCUGGAGCUCCAUAAACGUGCAAAAGCAGAGCUGCUAUGAACCACUGACAGCACUGGGAUCACCAGCACAAGGGAGGUAUGUGACACUUCCUUCUUACUUGUGGUUCAGAUGGUCUCUCUGGAGAUAGCAAUGCUGGAACAUUGGGUCCUUUGCCCUCCAAACAAACAGGAGGGAUUGCUAAGCUUGGGAUGUCUUCUCCAGUGUAUGUGCUUCGAGGUCUUCCUUCCAUAUCUCCCUGUGGUCUUCAUGCUGGAGACAUUCAUUAACCACAGUCGGUGUUGACCUGCUCUUUCAGUAUCAUCUGUAUACUGCAAUAAAAGCACAUAUGCUGUCCCCA
RNAcentral lists this long non-coding RNA (754 nucleotides) under Coturnix japonica (Japanese quail). Its description in RNAcentral is "lncRNA (ENSCJPG00005011265.1)". Lineage: Eukaryota; Metazoa; Chordata; Aves; Galliformes; Phasianidae. The record is from RNAcentral.